UAAUCUCGGAACCUGAUGAUGCUUUUGU
RNAcentral lists this non-coding RNA (28 nucleotides) under Bombyx mori (domestic silkworm). Lineage: Eukaryota; Metazoa; Arthropoda; Insecta; Lepidoptera; Bombycidae. The record is from RNAcentral.